CACAUAUGUACAUACAUACAAUAUAAAACAACAAAGUUUUCUAUUGUCAAAAGACACUACUCUAUGGAGCUUCUUCCAGAAGAUGUUUGGAAUUAGGUCUCUGAACUUGCACAACAGGAGAAAUCUGGACGAUGGAUGGAUGGAUGGAUGGAUGCACUAACGGUACAACAUCAACUGAUGCUGCAACAACAACUAAUACUAUUAUUCCCUCUAUCUCUAUGUACGGUACAAUUUUUUAUGCGCUUGUUCUUAUUUUUCUUCGUUUUUUUUUUUUGCACUUAAUGACGUGUAACGAGCUCGCGCGCGUGUUUUGCAGUUGUCUUUGUGUGCGCGCUCUUUCUCUCUCUCCCUCUCUCUCUCUUGAUCCCCCUCUUUCUCUCUGCCCCUCCCUACCUUUCUUUGGUGAGCGAGCAGCAUACAUACAUAUACAUAUGUACUAGCGAUUGGCGGACUAUGCGCGUGCGAGCGAGAUGCCACACUUUGAAAAUAAACAGGUAAAAAGAAUAGGGUGUAAUGAUUCUGGACAGAAGCUUGAACCGGCAAGAAGGAAGUGUCUCCAUCUGUCCCUCAAUAUUCCACCAUUUUUAAAGAUGAUGUCUCAAGGAGUUCUCCACAGAAUAGUUAUAAAUGUAGCCACACAACUGUAACCCACAUCUGCCACGGAACUAAUCGACCCGCUAGGGUAUCUCUGCGUCGGUCCCCCGAGGCUAGCAUUUCUCUCUUCUUUUUUUUUUUGCUGGUGCUGCUCUUGCUGCUCUGCCCGCCUUUUAGUCAGAGGGGGACGGGGGGACUGCAGCUUUUUCUGUAUUAUUUGAGUGAAAUGAUCGUCAGCAAACAGACCAAGUGGCUCGGCAGUUUCUGUUGUUGUUGUUGUUGGUCAAUAAUUAUCAAGCAUACAUAAAUAAUUAGUCAGCAAGAGCUGACCAUGAAAAUCAGCAGAAAAAAAAACGAGGGAGAAAUCAAUCAACCCCUGUUCGAAUUCGAGGAUAAGCCAGCCGCAUAAGACAAAAUUUCGAACAACAAUCGAAAUGAGCGACGGAGAGGGGCAGCGCAGCAGCAACGACAGCGGCAUCGGCAGCGGCAGCAAGUCAUUUAAACGGUCAAUUGCCUCAGGCACAAAAGCAAAUGUCCGAAUGAGAGAGAGAGAGAGCUACAACAGCAGUCACAAAAACAAAAAACUAAACGAAAAGAAGAGGCGGCACGGCACUGCAAGCGACGGGGAGGAAGAGGGACAACAGCUGACAGCUGAAAAGUGCAGGCCAAAUGCCGAAAAAAUUAAGCAAAUGUUUUUCAUAUUUCAUUUCUCACCUAAAAAGAAAUGUUGCCAUAACCAUAAAUACACAUGUGCGUGCAUACCUACAUACCAUAUGUGCAUAUGUAUGUAUGUAUGUACAGCAUGUACAUAUAAAUUAU
Molecule: small RNA, 1413 nt
Filed under: Drosophila pseudoobscura pseudoobscura
Lineage: Eukaryota; Metazoa; Arthropoda; Insecta; Diptera; Drosophilidae
Description: GA30976
Source: RNAcentral